This is a long non-coding RNA of Sesamum indicum (sesame), 738 nucleotides long. RefSeq lists it as uncharacterized. Lineage: Eukaryota; Viridiplantae; Streptophyta; Magnoliopsida; Lamiales; Pedaliaceae. The record is from RefSeq and is a predicted model, not a curated record.
CCAGCUCCUCUUCCUCCAGUCUGUCAAACUUAAUUUCCUUAAUUGUUGUUUCACGCUAACAAUUUUCUCAGUGAUUGUGUUCAUGAUCGUAGAUUGCAUUGAUAAUUUGGCGAAUUUUUCUUAUUUUUUGUCGAGAGUUUUUGUCAUCGAUGAUGAGAAAUUCAAGGCCGGUUUCUCAAAAAACAUUCGCAGCGGCCGCCUGAGAACUUUCGCCUUUCGCCGGGCUUGAGAGUUUCUGCUGCUCCCAUCCUUCCUUGGAUGUCUGAGAUUGUUCCAAUACUACAUGAAUGCUGGAGGUAUUGUUUCAUCCGUGCAUCGCAGGAAAUGGAGCAGUGAAGAUGCAAAUUCCCUGCCUAUGAAGACAUGAAAGGCAGCUGAGCAAAUGCGAAUAGGAGAGAAGGAUAGGUUGAAUAGGCAAUAGAACAGAACAACUGCAACUGCAAGGGCAUUUCUCUCCAGCUGCAAAAGAGCAAAUGCGAGAGUAUCUGCUGGAACAAUUUCCAUGUCUUGGCACUUUCACCAUUCUGUUAACAAGCUACAUAUGUAAUAGAUAUCUUUCAUGAGUUGAUGAUAUUCUUUCUGAAAAGAAUUGAAUCCCUAAGCUGUCAUUAUUAUUGUAAGAACCCAUUGUUGUUAUAUUCAUGAAUUUCCAACCAUUUUCGAGAUCUCGACUUUUUUCAAGAAAUCCCACUUUGCCACCUUGUAAUUUUUUAUGAACAUGGACUGUAACAUUUGUUA